This 463-nucleotide ribosomal RNA is filed under the name uncultured bacterium. RNAcentral describes it as "bacterial SSU rRNA". It matches the Rfam family "Bacterial small subunit ribosomal RNA", at positions 337 to 791 of the family's 1533-position model. The record is from RNAcentral.
CCCUACGGGGCGCAGCAGCUAAGAAUCUUCCGCAAUGGGGGAAACCCUGACGGAGCGACGCCGCGUGGACGAUGAAGGCCGUAAGGUUGUAAAGUCCUUUUGCAGGCGAAGAAUAAGGUAGGGAGUGGAAAGCCUUACCGAUGACGUUAGCCUGCGAAUAAGCCCCGGCCAAUUACGUGCCAGCAGCCGCGGUAAUACGUAUGGGGCAAGCGUUGUUCGGAGUUAUUGGGCGUAAAGGGCGUGUAGGCGGUAUGCCAUGUCUGGUGUGAAAACGCAGGGCUCAACCCUGCGGUUGCGCUGGAAACGGGCAUGCUUGAGUUCCGAGGGGGGAGCCGGAAUUCCAGGUGUAGGGGUGAAAUCUGUAGAGAUCUGGAAGAACACCGGUGGCGAAGGCGGGCUUCUACUCGAGGACUGACGCUGAGGCGCGAAAGCGUGGGGAGCAAACAGGAUUAGAUACCCCGGU